Long non-coding RNA from Dermacentor silvarum, 515 nucleotides. RefSeq lists it as uncharacterized. NCBI's taxonomy places the organism in Eukaryota, Metazoa, Arthropoda, Arachnida, Ixodida, Ixodidae. The record is from RefSeq and is a predicted model, not a curated record. The transcript has 3 exons.
GUGGAUUCAAGCGACAGUGAUCAGAAAGAAAUGCUGACUUAAAUUAUUGCUAUAGAGAUACGUUAGCACGUCGUAGGGUCUGCGCGCUGACGGGCGCCAUCUCCAGAGGUCACAGGAGGUUGUCUUAUCCUGUCACCCUCGGGCGGACACCCGAGUGCUGGCGGCGCGCCCCGGACGUCAUUCAUCAAGUGCUGAAGGUCUCUCCGAACUGCCCACAAGGUGUGUGAUCCAACCUUACCUGCCAUAAGGUCCCUAGAUAAAACAAGUUGAAGGCCUCUCCGAACUACCCACCAGGUGUGUGCUACAAGCUUAUCUGCCAUAAGGUCCCUAGAUAAAACAAGUUGAAGGCCUCUCCGAACUACCCAACAGGUGUGUGCUCCAAGCUUAUCUGCCACAAAGUCCCAAGAUAAAACAAGUUGAAGGCCUCUCCGAACUACCCACUAGAUGUGUGCUCCAAGCUUACCUGCCAAAAGGUCCCUAGAUAAAACAAGUUGAAGGCCUCUCCGAACUACCUA